Molecule: unclassified non-coding RNA, 240 nt
Filed under: soil metagenome
Description: partial contains 5.8S ribosomal RNA, internal transcribed spacer 2, and large subunit ribosomal RNA
Source: RNAcentral
AACAAGGCGUACCUGCGGACCUGCGGAAGGAUCAUUACAGAGUUCAUGCCCUCACGGGUAGAUCUCCCACCCUUGCGUAUUUAUACCUUUGUUGCUUUGGCAGGCCGCCUGGGCUCGCGCCUGGCCACCGGCUCCCGGGCUGGUGCGUGCCUGCCAGAGGAUCUCCAAACUCUAGUUAUCAGUGUUGUCUGAGUACUAUACAAUAGUUAAAACUUUUAACAACGGAUCUCAGAUCGGAAG